UGGAAUUUUAUGUGUGGAUGGACAAGUUC
RNAcentral lists this non-coding RNA (29 nucleotides) under Rattus norvegicus (Norway rat). The record is from RNAcentral. Lineage: Eukaryota; Metazoa; Chordata; Mammalia; Rodentia; Muridae.